AUGGACCUACUAGAUAAUAACCUGGUCAGUGCUGUAGUUGACCUACUGGAUAAUAACCUGGUCGGUGCUGUAGUGGACCUACUGGAUAAUAACCUGGUCGGUGCUGUAGUGGACCUACUGGAUAAUAACCUGGUCGGUGCUGUAGUGGACCUACUGGAUAAUAACCUGGUCGGUGCUGUAGUUGACCUACUGGAUAAUAACCUGGUCGGUGCUGUAGUGGACCUACUGGAUAAUAACCUGGUCGGUGCUGUAGUUGACCUACUGGAUAAUAACCUGGUCGGUGCUGUAGUUGACCUACUGGAUAAUAACCUGGUCGGUGCUGUAGUGGACCUACUGGAUAAUAACCUGGUCGGUGUUGUAGUGGACCUACUGGAUAAUAACCUGGUCGGUGCUGUAGUGGACCUACUGGAUAAUAACCUGGUCGGUGCUGUAGUGGACCUACUGGAUAAUAACCUGGUCGGUGCUGUAGUGGACCUACUGGAUAAUAACCUGGUCGGUGCUGUAGUGGACCUACUGGAUAAUAACCUGGUCGGUGCUGUAGUGGACCUACUGGAUAAUAACCUGGUCGGUGCUGAAGUGGACCUACUGGAUAAUAACCUGGUCGGUGCUGAAGUGGACCUACUGGAUAAUAACCUGGUCGGUGCUGUAGUGGACCUACUGGAUAAUAACCUGGUCGGUGCUGUAGUGGACCUACUGGAUAAUAACCUGGUCGGUGCUGUAGUGGACCUACUGGAUAAUAACCUGGUCGGUGCUGUAGUGGACCUACUGGAUAAUAACCUGGUCGGUGCUGUAGUGGACCUACUGGAUAAUAACCUGGUCGGUGCUGUAGUGGACCUACUGGAUAAUAACCUGGUCGGUGCUGUAGUGGACCUACUGGAUAAUAACCUGGUCGGUGCUGUAGUGGACCUACUGGAUAAUAACCUGGUCGGUGCUGAAGUGGACCUACUGGAUAAUAACCUGGUCGGUGCUGUAGUGGACCUACUGGAUAAUAACCUGGUCGGUGCUGUAGUGGACCUACUGGAUAAUAACCUGGUCGGUGCUGUAGUGGACCUACUGGAUAAUAACCUGGUCGGUGCUGUAGUGGACCUACUGGAUAAUAACCUGGUCGGUGCUGUAGUGGACCUACUGGAUAAUAACCUGGUCGGUGCUGUAGUGGACCUACUGGAUAAUAACCUGGUCGGUGCUGAAGUGGACCUACUGGAUAAUAACCUGGUCGGUGCUGAAGUGGACCUACUGGAUAAUAACCUGGUCGGUGCUGUAGUGGACCUACUGGAUAAUAACCUGGUCGGUGCUGUAGUGGACCUACUGGAUAAUAACCUGGUCGGUGCUGUAGUGGACCUACUGGAUAAUAACCUGGUCGGUGCUGUAGUGGACCUACUAGAUAAUAACCUGGUCGGUGCUGUAGUGGACCUACUGGAUAAUAACCUGGUCGGUGCUGUAGUGGACCUACUGGAUAAUAACCUGGUCGGUGCUGUAGUGGACCUACUGGAUAAUAACCUGGUCGGUGCUGUAGUGGACCUACUGGAUAAUAACCUGGUCGGUGCUGUAGUGGACCUACUGGAUAAUAACCUGGUCGGUGCUGUAGUGGACCUACUGGAUAAUAACCUGGUCGGUGCUGUAGUGGACCUACUGGAUAAUAACCUGGUCGGUGCUGUAGUGGACCUACUAGAUAAUAACCUGGUCGGUGCUGUAGUGGACCUACUGGAUAAUAACCUGGUCGGUGCUGUAGUGGACCUACUGGAUAAUAACCUGGUCGGUGCUGUAGUGGACCUACUGGAUAAUAACCUGGUCGGUGCUGUAGUGGACCUACUGGAUAAUAACCUGGUCGGUGCUGUAGUGGACCUACUGGAUAAUAACCUGGUCGGUGCUGUAGUGGACCUACUGAACCAACACUACUACGUUGUGACUGGCUCCAUUCAGUCUUUUGUAGCAACAUUUGAAAUGUUGUGUUUUUACACUGGAUAA
RNAcentral lists this long non-coding RNA (1965 nucleotides) under Oncorhynchus mykiss (rainbow trout). RNAcentral describes it as "lncRNA (ENSOMYG00000061013.1)". The record is from RNAcentral. Lineage: Eukaryota; Metazoa; Chordata; Actinopteri; Salmoniformes; Salmonidae.